UGGCACUGUUUAUCACUGGCCAAACCCUAGU
Molecule: non-coding RNA, 31 nt
Filed under: Rattus norvegicus (Norway rat)
Lineage: Eukaryota; Metazoa; Chordata; Mammalia; Rodentia; Muridae
Source: RNAcentral